GGCUGAGCCAGAAGUUAGGAUUUAUAUCAAUUGAUUGCUCACAGUCAGCUACAGAUCAAACUUCUUGUUCUAUUCUUUCCCCCUUCUCACUAUUCCUCUUGAUUAGACUUUU
RNAcentral lists this non-coding RNA (112 nucleotides) under Aotus nancymaae (Ma's night monkey). The record is from RNAcentral. Lineage: Eukaryota; Metazoa; Chordata; Mammalia; Primates; Aotidae.